RNAcentral lists this ribosomal RNA (524 nucleotides) under Ptyodactylus oudrii. RNAcentral describes it as "partial 16S ribosomal RNA". It matches the Rfam family "Bacterial large subunit ribosomal RNA", at positions 1854 to 2597 of the family's 2925-position model. The record is from RNAcentral. Lineage: Eukaryota; Metazoa; Chordata; Lepidosauria; Squamata; Phyllodactylidae.
GUCGCCUGCCCAGUGAACGCUUGUUUAAACGGCCGCGGUAUCCUAACCGUGCAAAGGUAGCGUAAUCACUUGUCUCCUAAAUAGGGACUAGUAUGAACGGCUAAAUGAGGGCCCAACUGUCCCAUAUGACCACUCAAUGAAACUGAUCCUCCAGUACAAAAGCUGGAAUAACACCACAAGACGAGAAGACCCUGCGGAACUUCAACCAUACUAUCAACUCAGGCCCCCUCCAUACCAACCAACACAGGCCUCAAUACAUCUACAAAUUGAUAACGGUUUAAGUUGGGGCGACUGUGGAGUAAAAAUCAACCUCCAUGUAACCAAUACAAACAGACUAACCAGCCUAAGUAUAACAAACAAGACCCAGUAUUACUGAUCACCGAACCAAGCUACCCCAGGGAUAACAGCGCCAUCCUCUUUUAGAGUCCCUAUCGCCAAGAGGGUUUACGACCUCGAUGUUGGAUCAGGGCCCCCCAGUGGCGCAGCCGCUACUAAAGGUCCGUUUGUUCAACGGUUAAUGCCCU